Molecule: transfer RNA, 77 nt
Filed under: Candidatus Omnitrophota bacterium
Lineage: Bacteria; Pseudomonadati; Candidatus Omnitrophota
Description: Candidatus Omnitrophica bacterium tRNA-Val
Rfam family: tRNA
About the family: Transfer RNA (tRNA) molecules are approximately 80 nucleotides in length.
Source: RNAcentral
GGGCUCAUAGCUCAGUUGGUUAGAGUGCUUCCUUGACAUGGAAGAGGUCGGAGGUUCGAGCCCUCCUGGGCCCACCA